Telopea speciosissima is the source of this 311-nucleotide long non-coding RNA. RefSeq lists it as uncharacterized. NCBI's taxonomy places the organism in Eukaryota, Viridiplantae, Streptophyta, Magnoliopsida, Proteales, Proteaceae. The record is from RefSeq and is a predicted model, not a curated record. The transcript is spliced from 2 exons.
ACUGUGACUGCCAUCUUUUUCUUACUGUGUUUUACAUUGCUGCAAUUUCAACUAGAAUGUGCUCUAAUACUUGACGAGAUGAAUCUCCUCAACCCAGACCUUAUCUUUGUUAAAAGAAAGAAAAGAAAAGAAAAUGGAAGCAUUGUUUUAUUUGGCUAUAAGUUCCCCCAAGCCUAAAUAAUGCCCAGAGUCAUGCCCUAAAUGGCAAAGCAAUACUUUAAAUUCUGAUGCACUAGUAGGGGUGGGGGUUUCAAGAGCAAGCUUUCCUUGGUUCACCUAAUAAAUAGGCUCUCGAUGUUAGUUGCUGUGUA